GUGAAUUUUCAGGUGGCUUGAUUAACCGUCAAGUCAUCUAUCACUAUUUUUCACACACUUGUGCAUCAGUUUAAAGCGGCAAUCUUUCCGGUUGCUGUUUUUUUACACGCUUGUGAAUUUUAAAAAGUUGGUUUCAAUUUGAAUAAAGAAAGUA
Molecule: unclassified non-coding RNA, 154 nt
Filed under: uncultured fungus
Lineage: Eukaryota; Fungi
Description: sequence contains ITS1, 5.8S rRNA gene
Source: RNAcentral